This 237-nucleotide long non-coding RNA is filed under the name Nicotiana benthamiana. RNAcentral describes it as "long non-coding RNA (NBEN_LNC027048)". Lineage: Eukaryota; Viridiplantae; Streptophyta; Magnoliopsida; Solanales; Solanaceae. The record is from RNAcentral.
AACAAUCGAUUGUCUUCUUUUUAAAAUUCAACAGAAAUCUUUUUAACCGGAUUUUAAGGAAUUUGUCUGUUGAAAUUUUACUCCAACAACCGAUUGUGUAAUAUCAACAAUCAAUUGUCAGGCAGAUUUUCAGGAGCGUUUUCUGGAACUAAAAGCAACGGUCUAUUGCUCCAGUUUCUCUAUAAAACACUCUCUGAAAAUCAUUUUUUAAACACAACAACACUGCAGAAAAAGUAC